UCAACCCAUUAAUAAUUAUUUUUCUUAAUUCACAUGCACAAAACUUAGAGCAUCACCCAUUGACCCCUAUCAUAUUACACAAAUUUCAUACAUUAUCGGCAAACCAAAAGUCUAUAGAAAAUACUAGUACAAAAAUAAUCACCAGUAUGUAUCCAAAAAAAUAAAAUAAAUAAUCACCAGUAGGUAGAAUGAUCCAUAGAUUUUAGAUCAUCCGACAAUUUUUAUUUUUUUGAAAAUUCAGUAUCUAAUUUAAGGAUUAAUUAAUUCGAGAGAAUUAAUCCUACG
RNAcentral lists this long non-coding RNA (285 nucleotides) under Trifolium pratense (red clover). Its description in RNAcentral is "long non-coding RNA (TPRA_LNC001851)". Lineage: Eukaryota; Viridiplantae; Streptophyta; Magnoliopsida; Fabales; Fabaceae. The record is from RNAcentral.